RNAcentral lists this long non-coding RNA (245 nucleotides) under Homo sapiens (human). RNAcentral describes it as "non-protein coding lnc-ABRACL-1:1". Lineage: Eukaryota; Metazoa; Chordata; Mammalia; Primates; Hominidae. The record is from RNAcentral.
GGGAACUGAACACUCACAUGCCCCUGGGAAGCAGCCUUCAGCAAUUUGAGGGCGCUUUGUUUCUUACGUUGGGAGAGAAAUCCAUCAGGAAAUCGACGCCCAGGAUCAGAUGCAGAUCCUGGGAUCCUUGGCUCUGAGUAGCACGGUGGAAAAGUGAGGUAAUCCAGGCUCUGGGCCCGUUUUCCUAGGAGCCCAGGGCGCUUCACCUGUCUGCAGUCAGCCCCUUUCUUGGACGUCUCCUCCCC